AGAUCAAGGAUACACCAAAGA
This 21-nucleotide unclassified non-coding RNA is filed under the name Dictyostelium discoideum. The record is from RNAcentral. Lineage: Eukaryota; Evosea; Eumycetozoa; Dictyosteliales; Dictyosteliaceae.